CGUGCUAGGUAGCGCAAUCACUUGUCUUUUAAAUGAAGACCUGUAUGAAUGGCAUAACGAGGGCUUAACUGUCUCCCUUUUCCAGUCAAUGAAAUUGAUCUCCCCGUGCAGAAGCGGGGAUUAAAACAUAAGACGAGAAGACCCUAUGGAGCUUUAGACAAAGAGCAGACCAUGUUAAACACACCUAAAUAAAGGACAAAACCAAUUGGCCCCUGCCCUUAUGUCUUUGGUUGGGGCGACCGCGGGGAAACAAAAAACCCCCAUGUGGACUGAAGACAUUCCUCUUCACAACCAAGAGCCACAGCUCUAAGCAACAGAACAUCUGACCAACAAGAUCCGGCACUAAGCCGAUCAACGGACCGAGUUACCCUAGGGAUAACAGCGCAAUCUCCUUUUAGAGCCCCCAUCGACAAGGAGGUUUACGACCUCGAUGUUGGAUCAGGACAUCCUAAUGGUGCAGCCGCUAUUAAGGGUUCGUUUGUUCAACGAUUAAAGUCCUACGUGAUCUGAGUUCAGACCGGAGCUCCCGUGUUUAUCAAAAAUAUAUUCG
Molecule: ribosomal RNA, 550 nt
Filed under: Pseudetroplus maculatus (orange chromide)
Lineage: Eukaryota; Metazoa; Chordata; Actinopteri; Cichliformes; Cichlidae
Description: partial large subunit ribosomal RNA
Rfam family: Bacterial large subunit ribosomal RNA
Source: RNAcentral